GUGUUUACUUUGGCAGCACAUGUGGUAAAACUGAAAUGAUACAGAGAAGAUUAAGUUGGUCCCUGCGCAAAGAUGUCUCACAAAUUCGUGAAGCAUUCUAUAUAUUC
Protopterus annectens (West African lungfish) is the source of this 107-nucleotide small nuclear RNA. NCBI's taxonomy places the organism in Eukaryota, Metazoa, Chordata, Ceratodontiformes, Protopteridae. The record is from RefSeq and is a predicted model, not a curated record.